Ictalurus punctatus (channel catfish) is the source of this 1470-nucleotide long non-coding RNA. NCBI's taxonomy places the organism in Eukaryota, Metazoa, Chordata, Actinopteri, Siluriformes, Ictaluridae. The record is from Ensembl.
GUUGGGGGUGGGACACUUCAGAUUCUAAAGGACAUUUGAUUGGACAGAUCAUCUGAUGAGAAGCCAACGUGCAGAAUGAUGUCAUCAAAAUUGUUGAUCCAUUUUGGUGAGUAGAGAGAGAGAGAGACUGUAAAUUUUGAAUGCAUAUAUCUUUUAAUUGUGAAUUAUGUCAUUGUUUUGAAGCACACUAGCUAAUAGAUAACCUUAAGGCGAACAUAUUCAUGCUAAAAGUCACAAAACUUCCAUUUUAAUUUUAUGUGGACCUGAAUACAUAUAGUAAUACAUAUACAUAUAUUAAUACUAAUAUUUUGAGCACUAAACAGGCAUGUAUAUUUGCCUUGCAGUACACCAUUAGAAGAAAGUCAUGCUAAGGGGAAGCCAAACAGAGAAAGAAUGGAGGAAGGAGAAAGAAAGUGGAAAAACUGAGGAACAGCACAAUAGGCUGAGUGCGGACACACAGUUGCAGAGCUGCCAUGUGCCAGUGUGGCUGACCCCAGGCACGCACAGCUGGGCAUCACAUCUGCCAAUUAGUGCCGCAGAAGUUUUCACUUCAACCGACAUGUGUGCCACGAGCGACCCACAACGGGUGCCACAGCCUCGUCCAUCUGUAUGCACUCAUGUGGAGAAGCAUAUGUGAUUGUGCAAGUGUUAGUUAGAAAGAAAGGGGGUUUAUGCGAUGAAGGAACAAACUGUUCCGAAAAUUUUGUGUCUUUCUUGCUCUUUUGCUCUUUUGAUGAAUAAGCUAUUCGUGUGAACUAAGCAUUGGUGAGUGACAGAUGGAUGACUGUCGGGUGUGAUUGAGAGAGAAAUGGAGUUCAUGUUAAGAGUGAACAGGCAGUUGCUCUAUUAGACUAAAAUAAACAGCAUCUUCAGUCUUUUUAUUUAUAAUAACUUUAAAUAUAAAGUUGUUUAUGUUUUUGUUUAAAACAUAAAUAUUCACCUUAAUCUAUAAUUUGGUGUACUUUAAGAAAUAUCCUGAAGUUGACUGUGUUAAUUUGAUAUUGAUGACAUAAUAAAUGUAUCCAUAUAGGUUAAUUAUUAGCUGCUUAUAACAGCACUGGUGAAUUGAUUGGUCAAACGGGGUUGAUUAAUUUUCUGUUACAGGAGCAAUUAAAAUUUAUAUUAAUAUUAUAUUUUAUAGGUUUAUAUUAAUGCACUCAUUCUAAUAUAUUAUCGUUUUUAUAACUACAGCUAAUUUACAGGGACAAAUCUGGGUUUUUAUUUAAGAAACACAAAUAAUUCUUGAUAUAGUGAUGAUUUUUGUUGGAGAGGUUUAUGGAACAUUUAUGGAAGGAGUCUUGUGUGUCAGUGCUUUGUAACAGUUGAAAACAAUAAAAGUUUUCUGGCACAGGAGAGUCUUCAGGACUUUGUAUUUUACAGUAUCUCAGUAACAUGACAACCUAUGUUUUAUUUUAACUUCAAGAGGAGAAAAAACAGAGGAUGGUGAGGGAAUGUCUGUUUAUAGCUGCU